Phoenix dactylifera (date palm) is the source of this 1326-nucleotide RNA transcript. It is a transcript of the gene named hydroxyacyl-thioester dehydratase type-like protein, with no coding region annotated. NCBI's taxonomy places the organism in Eukaryota, Viridiplantae, Streptophyta, Magnoliopsida, Arecales, Arecaceae. The record is from RefSeq and is a predicted model, not a curated record.
GAUGACCUUAGCAUCUAUAAUCUUUUGCGCCUGAAUAUAUAGACCUAUGGAUUCCUUCCAUUCUAAUAGUGUCAGCCACAUUAAUCACCAAGGAUAUAUGGGCUUAUGGAUCUCUAUUCCCAUGUGAAUCAAAAUUUGCUCUGCGGCACACAAAAAUCGCGACCAAAAACUACGGUUAUAGGCUGUUGCAUUAGUCCUGUACAGUCAAAACUGUGUCAAACCGUGCCCGAGAGCAGCAUCAGACCGAACACUCAAAACAUAGCCAAGUCCGGAGUUCCAGAUCUGACCCGGUUCGUUUGGGGCUCGAGUUGCGUACUGUUUGGCGUCGCCUCAGCAUUUCGUCGAACGCCUUUCGUUUCUUCUGUCAAUCGCCGGGCUGAUUCGUUCUUUUCCCGACGAUGACGAUGACGAUGACGAUGACGAUGGGAGCCGCUCUUCUCAAACGAAUCCUCUGUCGCCCUGCUCCUCCGCUCGCCAUCUUUUUCCGUUCUUCAUUCUCGUCCUAUACGACCCCAGAAGCGACUCGGCUCCUCAAAGUCGGCGAUGUACUGAGGGAAUCGAGGCGGUUCUCCGAGUCGGACGUGGCGCGGUACUCGGAGGUGAGCGGCGACCGCAACCCCGUCCAUCUUGAUGCCGAUUUCGCCCGGAGAAUCGCUGGUUUCGAUGGCGGCAGAGUCGUCCACGGCAUGCUCGUCGCAUCACUCUUCCCAUCCGUCAUUGCCUCCCAUUUUCCUGGAGCAGUAUACAUUGCUCAGACUUUGAAGUUUAAAUUGCCCGUCUAUAUUGAAGAUGAGGUUGUUGCUGAAGUACAAGCAACACAUGUGAGAGAAAACAAGAAAAGAUACAUUGUUAAGUUUGCAACAAAAUGCUUUGUGGAUAAGAAAUCUCUUGUCCUUGAUGGUGAAGCCACAGCCAUAUUACCAACAUUAGCACUGAACAAAUGACAAGCAUUCAAUUUUACAGGCCUAUCUCUGUCCAAAAUUUGUGAUAGUUUCACGUCAUUAGUUCUCUGGUGUACAUGCAGGAAGAUGAAAAACUAUUGUGAUGUCAGUAUGUGGAUGCUCGCGAUGGUGCUCUAGAUGGCAAGAUCAUGUUCAACAAUAUAGAACAGAUUGGCGGAGUUUUUCAUCAGCAUCUGAUGAGGCAGCAGGUCUUCACAAGAGGCAGUCUGGAAUCAAUUGAUUGGGCAACCAGCCAGGAUUGGGUCAUCUUUUAUCUUUAUGCUUUUUCUAAUUAACCACCAGUCUUUACCAGUUACGCAAUAUAAACAUUGUAGCAUAAUUCAUGUUCAUUUGUUUUAUUGAUUUGUUUCUCUGCAUUAUAUUA